Molecule: ribosomal RNA, 468 nt
Filed under: uncultured bacterium
Lineage: Bacteria
Description: partial 16S ribosomal RNA
Rfam family: Bacterial small subunit ribosomal RNA
Source: RNAcentral
GACGAACGCUGGCGGCGUGCUUAACACAUGCAAGUCGAACGGAAAGGCCCUGCUUUUGUGGGGUGCUCGAGUGGCGAACGGGUGAGUAACCCGUGAGUAACCUGCCCUUGACUUUGGGAUAACUUCAGGAAACUGGGGCUAAUACCGGAUAGGAGCUCCUGCUGCAUGGUGGGGGUUGGAAAGUUUCGGCGGUUGGGGAUGGACUCGCGGCUUAUCAGCUUGUUGGUGGGGUAGUGGCUUACCAAGGCUUUGACGGGUAGCCGGCCUGAGAGGGUGACCGGCCACAAUGGGACUGAGAUACGGCCCAGACUCCUACGGGAGGCAGCAGUGGGGAAUAUUGCACAAUGGGCGGAAGCCUGAUGCAGCAACGCCGCGUGCGGGAUGACGGCCUUCGGGUUGUAAACCGCUUUCGCCUGUGACGAAGCGUGAGUGACGGUAAUAGGUAAAGAAGCACCGGCUAACUACGUG